ACGCUGGCGGCACGCCUAACACAUGCAAGUCGAACGCAGUAGCAAUACUGAGUGGCAAACGGGUGAGUAACAUGUGGGUAUCUGCCCUUCGGCCUGGAAUAACACGAGGAAACUUGUGCUAAUACCGGAUAAGUCUUUACAGAGAAAGCUUUAUGCACCGAUGGAUGAGCCCGCACCUGAUUAGUUAGUUGGUGAGGUAAUGGCUCACCAAGACAAUGAUCAGUAGCUGAUUUGAGAGGAUGAUCAGCCACAUUGGGACUGAGACACGGCCCAAACUCCUACGGGAGGCAGCAGUGGGGAAUCUUGCACAAUGGGGGAAACCCUGAUGCAGCGAUGCCGCGUGAGUGAAGAAGGCCCUUGGGUUGUAAAGCUCUUUCGUCGGGGAAGAAAAUGACUGUACCCGAAUAAGAAGGUCCGGCUAACUUCGUGCCAGCAGCCGCGGUAAUACGAAGGGACCUAGCGUAGUUCGGAAUUACUGGGCUUAAAGAGUUCGUAGGUGGUUAAAAAAGUUGGUGGUGAAAUCCCAGAGCUUAACUCUGGAACUGCCAUCAAAACUUUUUAGCUAGAGUAUGAUAGAGGAAAGUAGAAUUUCUAGUGUAGAGGUGAAAUUCGUAGAUAUUAGAAAGAAUACCGAUUGCGAAGGCAACUUUCUGGAUCAUUACUGACACUGAGGAACGAAAGCAUGGGUAGCGAAGAGGAUUAGAUACCCUCGUAGUCCAUGCCGUAAACGAUGUGUGCUAGACGUUGGAAAUUUAUUUUCAGUGUCGCAGCAAAAGCAUUAAGCACACCGCCUGGGGAGUACGACCGCAAGGUUAAAACUCAAAUGAAUUGACGGGGACCCGCACAAGUAGUGGAGCAUGUGGUUUAAUUCGAAGAUACGCGCAGAACCUUACCAACACUUGACAUGUUCGUCGCGACUCUAAGAGAUUAGAGUUUUCGGUUCGGCCGGACGAAACACAGGUGCUGCAUGGCUGUCGUCAGCUCGUGUCGUGAGAUGUUGGGUUAAGUCCCGCAACGAGCGCAACCCUCACUUUUAGUUGCCAUCAUUAAGUUGGGCACUCUGAAAGAACUGCCAGUGAUAAGCUGGAGGAAGGUGGGGAUGACGUCAAGUCCUCAUGGCCCUUACGUGUUGGGCUACACACGUGCUACAAUGGCAUCUACAACAGGAAGCAAAACGGCAACGUUAAGCAAAUCCCGAAAAGAUGCCUCAGUUCGGAUUGCACUCUGCAACUCGAGUACAUGAAGCUGGAAUUACUAGUAAUCGUGGAUCAGCGUGCCACGGUGAAUGCGUUCCCGGGUCUUGUACACACCGC
Molecule: ribosomal RNA, 1313 nt
Filed under: uncultured Alphaproteobacteria bacterium
Lineage: Bacteria; Pseudomonadati; Pseudomonadota; Alphaproteobacteria
Description: uncultured alpha proteobacterium 16S ribosomal RNA
Rfam family: Bacterial small subunit ribosomal RNA
Source: RNAcentral